GGAUGGCCGGGCAGUGAUAGUUGUUCCUUUCCAUCACUCGUUGUGUUGACUUCAUCAUGUCCAUUUUGUGAUGUUUUUUCACUAUAUAAUCAUAUUGCAAGUGCACGUGCAUUUGCAAUAUGUUUCAAUGUGCAUUUACCAUAUGAAAUUUGACCUUGCUCAAAAAUGCAAAAUUGACUGGUCUGAUGAACACAGGAUGGCCGAGCAGUGAUAGUUGUACAUUUCCAUCACUUGUUGUGUUGAUUUCAUCAUGUCCAUUAGGUGAUGUUUUUACACUAUAGAAUCAUAUUGCAAGUGCGCGCGCAUUUGCAAUAUGUUUCAAUGUGCAUUUACCAUAUGAAAUUUGAAAUGCUCAAAAAUGCAAAAUUGACUGGUCUGAUGGACACAGGAUGGCCGAGCAGUGAUAGUUGUACAUUUCCAUCACUCGUUGUGUUGAUUUCAUCAUGUCCAUUAGGUGAUGUUUUUUCACUAUAGAAUCAUAUUGCAAGUGCGCGCGCAUUUGCAAUAUGUUUCAAUGUGCAUUUACCAUAUGAAAUUUGAAAUGCUCAAAAAUGCAAAAUUGACUGGUCUGAUGGACACAGGAUGGCCGAGCAGUGAUAGUUGUACAUUUCCAUCACUUGUUGUGUUGAUUUCAUCAUGUCCAUUAGGUGAUGUUUUUUCACUAUAGAAUCAUAUUGCAAAUGCACGUGCAUUGUUGUGCAACUGGUAACCCAAAAAUUAAAAUAUGGUUGUAAAUGCAUUUACCGGUCAUUCUGAUAUUAAUGCUCGCUAUGGGAACACAGGAUGGCCGGGCAGUGAUAGUUGUACAUUUCCAUCACUCGUUGUGUUGAUUUCAUCAUGUCCAUUAGGUGAUGUUUUUACACUAUAGAAUCAUAUUGCAAGUGCGCGCGCAUUUGCAAUAUGUUUCAAUGUGCAUUUACCAUAUGAAAUUUGACAUGCUCAAAAAUGCAAAAUUGACUGGUCUGAUGGACACAGGAUGGCCGAGCAGUGAUAGUUGUACAUUUCCAUCACUCGUUGUGUUGAUUUCAUCAUGUCCAUUAGGUGAUGUUUUUUCACUAUAGAAUCAUAUUGCAAAUGCACGUGCAUUGUUGUGCAACUGGUAACCCAAAAAUAAAAAUAUGGUUGUAAAUGCAUUUACCGGUCAUUCUGAUAUUAAUGCUCGCUAUGGGAACACAGGAUGGCCGGGCAGUGAUAGUUGUACAUUUCCAUCACUCGUUGUGUUGAUUUCAUCAUGUCCAUUAGGUGAUGUUUUUACACUAUAGAAUCAUAUUGCAAGUGCGCGCGCAUUUGCAAUAUGUUUCAAUGUGCAUUUACCAUAUGAAAUUUGAAAUGCUCAAAAAUGCAAAAUUGACUGGUCUGAUGGACACAGGAUGGCCGAGCAGUGAUAGUUGUACAUUUCCAUCACUCGUUGUGUUGAUUUCAUCAUGUCCAUUAGGUGAUGUUUUUUCACUAUAGAAUCAUAUUGCAAAUGCACGUGCAUUGUUGUGCAACUGGUAACCCAAAAAUAAAAAUAUGGUUGUAAAUGCAUUUACCGGUCAUUCUGAUAUUAAUGCUCGCUAUGGGAACACAGGAUGGCCGGGCAGUGAUAGUUGUACAUUUCCAUCACUCGUUGUGUUGAUUUCAUCAUGUCCAUUAGGUGAUGUUUUUACACUAUAGAAUC
This is a long non-coding RNA of Oncorhynchus keta (chum salmon), 1660 nucleotides long. RefSeq lists it as uncharacterized. The record is from RefSeq and is a predicted model, not a curated record. NCBI's taxonomy places the organism in Eukaryota, Metazoa, Chordata, Actinopteri, Salmoniformes, Salmonidae. The transcript has 3 exons.